RNAcentral lists this ribosomal RNA (255 nucleotides) under uncultured bacterium. RNAcentral's name for it is "partial 16S ribosomal RNA". It matches the Rfam family "Bacterial small subunit ribosomal RNA", at positions 524 to 776 of the family's 1533-position model. The record is from RNAcentral.
UACAGAGGGGGCAAGCGUUGUUCGGAAUUACUGGGCGUAAAGGGCGCGUAGGCGGCCUGUUAAGUCGAACGUGAAAUCCCCGGGCUUAACCUGGGAAUGGCAUUUGGGACUGGCAAGGCUGGAGUGCGGCAGAGGAGACGUGGAAUUCCUGGUGUAGCGGUGAAAUGCGCAGAUAUCAGGAGGAACACCGGUGGUGUAGACGGCUCUCUGGACCGUAACUGACGCUGAGGCACGAAAGCGUGGGUAGCAAACAGG